GAUGAACGCUGGCUUCGUGCCUAAUACAUGCAAGUCGAGCGAACUGACGAGUUGCUUUCUUCUUUGAUGUUAGCGGCAGGCGGAUUUGUAACCCGUGGAUAACCUAGCUAUAGGACUUGGAUAACUUCGAGAAACCGGAGCUAAUACCGGAUGAUAUUUUGAACCACAUUGUUCAAAAGUUUAUGACGAUCUUGCUGUCAAUUUUAGAUUGAUCCGCUCUGCAUUAGCUAGUUGGUAAGGUAACGGCCUACCAAUGCAACGAUGCAUAGCCGACCUGAGAGGGUGAUCGGCCACACUGGAAAUGAGACACGGUCCAGAAUACUACCGGAGGCAGCAGUAGGGAAUCUUCCGCAAUGGGCGAAAGCCUGAAGGAGCACCGACGCGUGAGUGAUGAAGGUCUUCGGAUCGUACAACUCUGUUAUUAGGGAAGAACAUAUGUGUAAGUAACUGUGCACAUCUUGACGGUACCUAAUAAGAAAGCCACGGCUAACUACGUG
Molecule: ribosomal RNA, 497 nt
Filed under: uncultured bacterium
Lineage: Bacteria
Description: partial 16S ribosomal RNA
Rfam family: Bacterial small subunit ribosomal RNA
Source: RNAcentral